RNAcentral lists this ribosomal RNA (253 nucleotides) under uncultured bacterium. RNAcentral's name for it is "partial 16S ribosomal RNA". It matches the Rfam family "Bacterial small subunit ribosomal RNA", at positions 524 to 776 of the family's 1533-position model. The record is from RNAcentral.
AACGUAGGAGACAAACGUUAUCCGGAGUUACUGGGCGUAAAGGGCGUGUAGGUGGUUUUGUAAGUCUGGCGUGAAAUUUUUCGGCUUAACCGGGAAAGGUCGUCGGAUACUGCAGGACUAGAGGACGGUAGAGGCGUGUGGAAUUCCGGGUGUAGUGGUGAAAUGCGUAGAGAUCCGGAGGAACACCAGUGGCGAAAGCGGCUCACUGGACCAUAACUGACGCUGAUGCACGAAAGCUAGGGGAGCAAACAGG